GGCAGCACGAUGUAGCAAUACAUUGGUGGCGACCGGCGCACGGGUGAGUAACGCGUAUGCAACCUACCUAUCAGAGGGGAAUAACCCGGCGAAAGUCGGACUAAUACCGCAUAAAACAGGGGUUCCACAUGGAAAUAUUUGUUAAAGAAUUAUCGCUGAUAGAUGGGCAUGCGUUCCAUUAGAUAGUUGGUGAGGUAACGGCUCACCAAGUCCACGAUGGAUAGGGGUUCUGAGAGGAAGGUCCCCCACACUGGUACUGAGACACGGACCAGACUCCUACGGGAGGCAGCAGUGAGGAAUAUUGGUCAAUGGGCGAGAGCCUGAACCAGCCAAGUCGCGUGAAGGAUGAAGGAUCUAUGGUUUGUAAACUUCUUUUAUAUGGGAAUAAAGUGAGGAACGUGUUCCUUUUUGUACGUACCAUAUGAAUAAGCAUCGGCUAACUCCGUGCCAGCAGCCGCGGUAAUACGGAGGAUGCGAGCGUUAUCCGGAUUUAUUGGGUUUAAAGGGUGCGUAGGUGGUUAAUUAAGUCAGCGGUGAAAGUUUGUGGCUCAACCAUAAAAUUGCCGUUGAAACUGGUUGACUUGAGUAUAUUUGAGGUAGGCGGAAUGCGUGGUGUAGCGGUGAAAUGCAUAGAUAUCACGCAGAACUCCGAUUGCGAAGGCAGCUUACUAAACUAUAACUGACACUGAAGCACGAAAGCGUGGGGAUCAAACAGGAUUAGAUACCCUGGUAGUCCACGCAGUAAACGAUGAUUACUAGCUGUUUG
This 766-nucleotide ribosomal RNA is filed under the name uncultured bacterium. RNAcentral's name for it is "bacterial SSU rRNA". It matches the Rfam family "Bacterial small subunit ribosomal RNA", at positions 66 to 826 of the family's 1533-position model. The record is from RNAcentral.